Molecule: long non-coding RNA, 368 nt
Filed under: Zostera marina
Lineage: Eukaryota; Viridiplantae; Streptophyta; Magnoliopsida; Alismatales; Zosteraceae
Description: long non-coding RNA (ZMAR_LNC005709)
Source: RNAcentral
UAGGAAAUAGGAAUACUGAUCCGGUGAACCACCGCCAAUAUAAUUAUAAUUCAAAGGGGGGUUGGGGUCGAACAUAGCAACCCGCUCGUUAACUCUCUCACACUCAUGGUCUGAACACCGAAAGCAUCACACACAAGAGGCUGGACUUUGAAGAUUCCCACUCCGUAAGAUUUUCCACAACGUAAAGUGACCUCUGCAUCAGCAAACAUGUAGUGGUCAGGGAUCUUGGUCAUCUUCAGAGAUUUUGUAGAAUUAUUAGUGUCAGAUAUGUACUUUACCUCGAUCCCCAACCUGGGAGUACCGACCAGUAAAAAACCAGAUGGUCGGGCGAAACCGCGAGAUCCAGUAGAGGGGAUAUAGUCCAUGAG